RNAcentral lists this ribosomal RNA (754 nucleotides) under uncultured cyanobacterium. Its description in RNAcentral is "bacterial SSU rRNA". It matches the Rfam family "Bacterial small subunit ribosomal RNA", at positions 28 to 824 of the family's 1533-position model. Lineage: Bacteria; Bacillati; Cyanobacteriota. The record is from RNAcentral.
GAUGAACGCUGGCGGUCUGCUUAACACAUGCAAGUCGAACGGAAUCCUUCGGGAUUUAGUGGCGGACGGGUGAGUAACGCGUGAGGAUCUGCCUUCAGGACGGGGACAACAGUUGGAAACGACUGCUAAGACCCGAUGUGCCGAGAGGUGAAAUUAAUUUAGCCUGAAGAUGAACUCGCGUCGGAUUAGCUAGUUGGAGUGGUAACGGCACACCAAGGCGACGAUCCGUAGCUGGUCUGAGAGGAUGACCAGCCACACUGGGACUGAGACACGGCCCAGACUCCUACGGGAGGCAGCAGUGGGGAAUUUUCCGCAAUGGGCGAAAGCCUGACGGAGCAAGACCGCGUGGGGGAGGAAGGUCUGUGGAUUGUAAACCCCUUUUGUCAGGGAAGAAUCAAAUGACGGUACCUGACGAAUCAGCCUCGGCUAACUCCGUGCCAGCAGCCGCGGUAAUACGGAGGAGGCAAGCGUUAUCCGGAAUUAUUGGGCGUAAAGCGUCCGCAGGUGGUUAUACAAGUCUGCUGUCAAAGCGCGAGGCUCAACUUCGUACCGGCAGUGGAAACUGUAGGACUAGAGAAUGAUAGGGGCAGAGGGAAUUCCCAGUGUAGCGGUGAAAUGCGUAGAGAUUGGGAAGAACACCGGUGGCGAAAGCGCUCUGCUGGGUCAUAUCUGACACUGAGGGACGAAAGCUAGGGGAGCGAAAGGGAUUAGAUACCCCUGUAGUCCUAGCCGUAAACGAUGGACACUAGGCGUU